Molecule: long non-coding RNA, 997 nt
Organism: Vicia villosa (hairy vetch)
Lineage: Eukaryota; Viridiplantae; Streptophyta; Magnoliopsida; Fabales; Fabaceae
Exons: 3
Source: RefSeq, a predicted model, not a curated record
GAAAACCGAGAACCGACCCAGCCCGCAAUAACCGAAACAAAAAACAAAAACGGUCUGGUUUGAAACGGGUUUGCGGUCUUGCGGGCCUGAAUUUCGGCCUCAAACAGGUUAAGACGGGCGGACUCGGUUCAUUGAAAUAACACCGCAGGUAUCCGAACCCGACCGAGUAAUGUUAUUUUAUUCAUUUUACAUCUACUAUGUUAGUACACAACUCUGAGCGAGAGUUUCAUUUUUUAUUUAUCUUCUCUCUCUUCAGCUUCCAUCCCUUCCCUCUUGUUCACAUCCAAACCCUAAUCCUAGCCGCCAUCCAUCCGCCGCCGUCUAUCAUACCCAUCUUAAAUCCUCUUCUCAUGUUCAUCUUCUCCAAUAUGUCACAAUGUUUUCCAUUUCCAAUUCGUUUCUAUUGAUUUCUUAUUCUUUCAUAUUCUAUUUCACUUACACCAUUCUUAAUCAUUCAACAUCUUUCUAUUCUUCUUUUGUUUAUGUUCCAGAAGAAUAGAAGGACAAUAGUUGCAUCUUUAUUCUUUUUGAACAAAAGGUUAUUGAUUUAAAGGUUGCCGAGACUUGAGACUUAAGAGGUUGUUGGUGGCUUAUUGAAGAACUAAUAAAUGUAUUUGUUUUGUUAUUAUUUUGAUAUAAAUGUAAUAAUUUAUGUUAUUUUUGAAGUUAUUGGAUGUGAGAUAUGCACUUUUGAAUUGGGCCAAAAAUAAAAUAUUGUAAUAUAUUGACUUAAAAUUAGUGAAAGUAAUUUAAGAAAAAAGCUAAACAAAUUAUUUGGCUUAAAAUUGGAAGUAACCCAAUAACCCGAAAUGCCCGUCCGAAAGCACCCGCAACCCGUUUUAAACCAACCCGUCAAAACCGAUACAAAUUUUGGGCGGAAUUGGGCCUGUUUUCUCCAACCGUGGGUUGGGCUGGGUGGUGGUUUUGGGCCUGAAACCGCCCAACCCGGCCCGUUGUCCACCCCUAGUCCAGAGCGUGUUGGUAGAAGUGUGAAAGA